UACGUAUAGAUAGUUUCAAAACAACACAGUAGAUAUAUCUGAACCCUCAAAAAUUUGUUAAUGAUGGCGGCAGAUAAAACCUUGAAAAUUUUGAACUGAAGUUGAAAAGAGAUUGAAUAGAUGGAUGUGAGCGAGAGCGAAGCAAUAUUUGAUUCAUUAGAUCUGAACCCUCAGCUGUUCAUCAACAGCUCCUUGAACAUUGUGGAUCAAUUAGUCGAAAGCGCCUUCGAUUAUCUUCAUCAGGAGGCAUCAACUCAACUCAAGAUCGACGGUUCCGAAGAAGAUUUAAUCAAGGGUUUGGAUUAUAUCAGAAAUGCAAUUCAAUCUGCCCUGGACAAACGGUUCUCUAUGUGGGAAAAGUUUUGUUUCCUUCAUAUUUUUGCGCUUCCGGAAGGAUUUUCGCUACCGAAAGAUGAUGAAGCAUCUGGCAGUGACUUGAUGGAUGUGGAAGAUGUUGGUAAUUCUGAUCUUGACGAACAGCUUGCUUCCUUGAAAGCAAAACUUUUAUCGGCUGAACAGGAGUCUGCUGAUUUGAAAACAGAGAUCCAAGCAUUGGAGAGACAAUCUGUUAUCGGUAACCAAGAAGCAGCUUCUGUUAAUGAAUUAAUGAAGUUGUCUGAACUAUUGCAUGAGAAUGAUGCAUUUGAAGAUAUGCAAAAACUUGCAAAAGAAUUACGUACAAAGAUGGAGAAGCUAAAGAUGGAAAGGGGUGUUGGAAUUCAACGUGCGAGGUUGGAGAGACUGGGUUUACACAGUGGAGAUUUGUUAAGAGUGAUUGGUGGAAAUGACCUCUCCAAUUCAAAGCAAGAAGAAUAUGAAAACUUUUUGGCAUCUUUCAACACCCGGUGAACUUUGGUUGAUUAUUGACAGGCUAUGAAGUUCUACAAGUGCGUUUUAGCAAUAUUUCACACUGGACAUUGAGAUUGAAAUGAAUACCACAAAAGAUUAUCAUACAACUAGGAUUGCUGCUUAGCCUAGUAGAACAUUGAGCCCACCUUAUAAGCCCACAUGAGAUUUGCACUCAACAUAUUUGGAUAAAGGGAGUCGCUCGUCAAGCUUUAUGUAAGGCAUCAAUGUGUUUAGGGUCUAAAAAAUACAUCAUCUAUUUUAGUAGCUCAUUAGGAAUGUGUACUCAUUUGUAUUGUGCAUCUUCUUAGUUAUUCAUGGCUUACAUGCUUUUAACAGCCAAACUAUAGUGUUUUCUUGGUGAGUGAGCACUUGCAAGGAGAUAAGGUUGAAUUUUUAUCUAUUUAAGGAGAUGAUCAUGCUUUAAGUAGGCGUGUUGUUGUGAAUAUAAAUAGAUCAAUAGUUUUCUAUA
RNA transcript from Erigeron canadensis, 1318 nucleotides. It is a transcript of the gene named protein MIS12 homolog, with no coding region annotated. NCBI's taxonomy places the organism in Eukaryota, Viridiplantae, Streptophyta, Magnoliopsida, Asterales, Asteraceae. The record is from RefSeq and is a predicted model, not a curated record. The transcript has 8 exons.